Molecule: ribosomal RNA, 494 nt
Filed under: uncultured bacterium
Lineage: Bacteria
Description: partial 16S ribosomal RNA
Rfam family: Bacterial small subunit ribosomal RNA
Source: RNAcentral
GACGAACGCUGGCGGCGUGCCUAAUACAUGCAAGUCGAACGGUUUAGUUCCAAGAGGCAAGACUCUUGGAACUAAGCAGUGGCGGACGGGUGAGUAACACGUAGGCAACCUACCUGUCAAACCGGGAUAACCUCGGGAAACCGAAGCUAAACCCGGAUAAGCUCCUUUUUCGCAUGAAGGGGGAGUGAAAAGGUGCGACCUGAUGACGGAUGGGCCUGCGGCGCAUUAGCUAGUAGGUAGGGUAACGGCCUACCUAGGCGAUGAUGCGUAGCCGACCUGAGAGGGCGUACGGCCACACUGGGACUGAGAUACGGCCCAGACUCCUACGGGAGGCAGCAGUAGGGAAUCUUCGGCAAUGGGCGAAAGCCUGACCGAGCAACGCCGCGUGAGUGAGGAAGGCCUUCGGGUUGUAAAACUCUGUUGUUUGGGAAGAAGGGAAAGGGUAGGACCCUUAGGUGACGGUACCAAACGAGAAAGCCCCGGCUAACUACGUG